AUAAAGUGGAGGAUUUAAUUGAUUUGUUUUUGGUAAAAUGUUUGGUGAGAAGGGAUUUAAAAUAAAGGGCACCUCUAAAAAUGAUAUUUGGUUUUACAGGAAUCAUCUCUUUUAGGACAUCAUCAUGUUGUAAGACAUGCCAAUGUUUUUCAAUUAUUUUUUUUAUUUCUCUAUUUUUGUUCUUGUAGUCGAAUGUAAUUGGAAUAGACGGAAUGGUCUUUUUAUUGAUGGUACUUUUAUCUCUAUAUGUGAGAAGGCUGUCUC
This is a non-coding RNA of Pelobates cultripes (western spadefoot toad), 264 nucleotides long. NCBI's taxonomy places the organism in Eukaryota, Metazoa, Chordata, Amphibia, Anura, Pelobatidae. The record is from the annotation of a GenBank genome assembly.